GAUGUGAACCUGGAAGUGUCUGGAGGAGGCUUAGUUAAACCUGGAGGAUCCAUGCAACUCUUUUGUGUAGCCUCUGGAUUUACUUUUGUAGAUGGCUGGAUGGACUGGGUCCGCCAGUCUCCAGAGAAGGGUCUUGAGUGGGUUGCUGAAAUUGCAAACAAAGCUAAUAAUUAUGCAACAUAUUAUCCCGAGUCUGUGAAAGGCAGAUUCACCAUCUCAAGAGAUGAUUUCAAAAGUAGUGUCUACCUGCAUAUGAACAGCUUAAGAGCCGAAGAUACAGGCAUUUAUUACUGUACAAGG
This is a non-coding RNA of Mus musculus (house mouse), 300 nucleotides long. The record is from the annotation of a RefSeq genome assembly. Lineage: Eukaryota; Metazoa; Chordata; Mammalia; Rodentia; Muridae.